GGCUCUUUCAAGGCAGAGAUGUGGCUGGUGGCAGUGUGCUGAGCAUCUUGGCAUCUUGGCAUGCCUGUAGCUCUUGUCCAGAUUUGGCUGAGAGCGUCCUUGGGGCGAUGACUGGAAGAAGCUCAAUAGUAUGGGUCAGGAUGACUACACAGUUUCCAGAGAGGGAAUACAUGGAAUAAAUGUUUGUCUUCAAACUCACCACCAAAUGGGGAAGUAGGUCUGUCCCUAAGCAUGGAAUUAUCAUGUUAUCCAGCUGAAGCCCAGCCAGACUCCAGCUAUAGUAUAUAGGCAGGACUCUUAGUGUGCAUGUCUAUGGGGACGAAAGGGAGAAAGCUCUCUGUGAACAGAUUUGAAGGCAAAAGGAGAAGAAUUUACAACUUUCGGAAGGAUGAUGCUGAGAAAAUCUUCUGAGGGGACAUUUUUGCCACAUUUGGAAAUAUGAACAUUUGGUAAAACAAAGAACAUGACUAAAAUGGCAGCUUUAUAAAUUUCCAGCUUUUCCAGGUUA
Long non-coding RNA from Monodelphis domestica (gray short-tailed opossum), 508 nucleotides. RefSeq lists it as uncharacterized. NCBI's taxonomy places the organism in Eukaryota, Metazoa, Chordata, Mammalia, Didelphimorphia, Didelphidae. The record is from RefSeq and is a predicted model, not a curated record.